GAUGAACGCUGGCGGCGUGCCUAAUACAUGCAAGUCGAGCGAACAGACGAGGAGCUUGCUCCUCUGACGUUAGCGGCGGACGGGUGAGUAACACGUGGAUAACCUACCUAUAAGACUGGGAUAACUUCGGGAAACCGGAGCUAAUACCGGAUAAUAUAUUGAACCGCAUGGUUCAAUAGUGAAAGACGGCUUUGCUGUCACUUAUAGAUGGAUCCGCGCCGCAUUAGCUAGUUGGUAAGGUAACGGCUUACCAAGGCAACGAUGCGUAGCCGACCUGAGAGGGUGAUCGGCCACACUGGAACUGAGACACGGUCCAGACUCCUACGGGAGGCAGCAGUAGGGAAUCUUCCGCAAUGGGCGAAAGCCUGACGGAGCAACGCCGCGUGAGUGAUGAAGGUCUUCGGAUCGUAAAACUCUGUUAUGAGGGAAGAACAAAUGUGUAAGUAACUAUGCACGUCUUGACGGUACCUAAUCAGAAAGCCACGGCUAACUACGUG
Molecule: ribosomal RNA, 497 nt
Filed under: uncultured bacterium
Lineage: Bacteria
Description: partial 16S ribosomal RNA
Rfam family: Bacterial small subunit ribosomal RNA
Source: RNAcentral